CUUGGUCAUUUAGAGGAAGUAAAAGUCGUAACAAGGUUUCCGUAGGUGAACCUGCGGAAGGAUCAUUAAUGAAAAAAGAUUCAUCGCCCCGUUUUUGUUCGUCAAUCGGGUUCUAAUCCCACAACCGUGUCUACCUACCUUUGUUGCUUUGGCAGGCCGCCUUCGGGCGUUGGCUUCGGCUGACCGUGCCUGCCAGAGGACCCCAACUCUGUGUUUAGUGAUGUCUGAGUACUAUAUAAUAUUUUAAAACUUUCAACAACGGAUCUCUUGGUUCUGGCAUCGAUGAAGAACGCAGCGAAAUGCGAUAAGCAAUGUGAAUUGCAGAAUUCAGUGAAUCAUCGAAUCUUUGAACGCACAUUGCGCCCCUUGGUAUUCCGAGGGGCAUGCCUGUUCGAGCGUCAUUAUAACCACUCAAGCCUGGCUUGGUAUUGGGGCUUUCGCGUGUUCGCGGCCCUUAAAAUCAGUGGCGGUGCCGUCUGGCUCUAAGCGUAGUAAUUCUCUCGCUAUAGAGUUCCGGCGGUUGCUUGCCAUAACCCCCCACUUUUAAGGUUGACCUCGGAUCAGGUAGGGAUACCCGCUGAACUUAAGCAUAUCAAUAAGCGGAGGA
RNAcentral lists this ribosomal RNA (607 nucleotides) under uncultured sordariomyceta. RNAcentral describes it as "eukaryotic LSU rRNA". The stretch from base 248 to 401 matches the Rfam family "5.8S ribosomal RNA". Lineage: Eukaryota; Fungi; Ascomycota. The record is from RNAcentral.